CGGCUUGCGUGGUAUUAGCUAGUUGGUGAGGUAACGGCUCACCAAGGCUUCGAUGCCUAGGGGAUGUUAGCGCAUGAUCCCCACCACUGGGACUGAGAUACUGCCCAGACACCUACGGGUGGCUGCAGUCGAGAAUCUUCGGCAAUGGGCGAAAGCCUGACCGAGCGACGCCGCGUGUGGGAUGAAGGCCCUUGGGUUGUAAACCACUGUCAGAGGGGAUGAAAUGCAUGGGAGCUAUCUCCUGUGUUUGACAUAGCCUCAGAGGAAGCACGGGCUAAGUUCGUGCCAGCAGCCGCGGUAAGACGAACUGUGCAAACGUUAUUCGGAAUCACUGGGCUUAAA
RNAcentral lists this ribosomal RNA (342 nucleotides) under uncultured Planctomycetia bacterium. RNAcentral describes it as "bacterial SSU rRNA". It matches the Rfam family "Bacterial small subunit ribosomal RNA", at positions 227 to 564 of the family's 1533-position model. Lineage: Bacteria; Pseudomonadati; Planctomycetota; Planctomycetia. The record is from RNAcentral.